Zingiber officinale is the source of this 396-nucleotide long non-coding RNA. RefSeq lists it as uncharacterized. The record is from RefSeq and is a predicted model, not a curated record. Lineage: Eukaryota; Viridiplantae; Streptophyta; Magnoliopsida; Zingiberales; Zingiberaceae. The transcript is spliced from 3 exons.
GCGACUCCCUCUUUUCUUCUUCCCGAGACCUCGCCGGCCACUAGGUUUAACCUAGCGCCAUCGCCCCUCUCCGAUUCUCUGUGCCGGCGACCGAGCCUCCCUUUCUCCCCACGGCAGAGCACCAUUUCUUCCUUUAUUGUGCCGUGUCUGGUUUAAAUUUGGCCGAGCCUUCUUCGGUGUCCUAGGUUUCGGUUGAGAAUCUGUGAAGUGGAUUUUAGCAGCAAAACUUUUAAAGCUUCAGCAGCAACGAUCCUUGUUAUUGAGCCAUAGCGACUGUGGUUAAGCAACCCUUUCAUUUACCGCAGCAAUUUAUCUUUGUUAGCAAUAAGUUUUGUUUUCCAGCAGCAUCUUGGUCCAGCGGCAGUAAGGACUUUGAUUCGGGACGGUAUCUCGACG